RNAcentral lists this ribosomal RNA (205 nucleotides) under uncultured bacterium. Its description in RNAcentral is "partial 16S ribosomal RNA". It matches the Rfam family "Bacterial small subunit ribosomal RNA", at positions 568 to 774 of the family's 1533-position model. The record is from RNAcentral.
AGCGCAGGUGGUUGUAUAAGUCUGAAGUAAAAGGCAGUGGCUCAACCAUUGUGUGCUUUGGAAACUGUACAACUUGAGUGCAGAAGGGGAGAGUGGAAUUCCAUGUGUAGCGGUGGAAUGCGUAGAUAUAUGGAGGAACACCGGUGGCGAAAGCGGCUCUCUGGUCUGUAACUGACACUGAGGCUCGAAAGGCUGGGAGCAAACA